RNAcentral lists this long non-coding RNA (1324 nucleotides) under Phasianus colchicus (ring-necked pheasant). RNAcentral's name for it is "lncRNA (ENSPCLG00000019048.1)". Lineage: Eukaryota; Metazoa; Chordata; Aves; Galliformes; Phasianidae. The record is from RNAcentral.
UCCACCCACCCACCCAUCCAUCCAUCCACCCACCCACCCACAAAUCCACACAUCCACAAUCUUCCUGUCCACCUGUCCAUCCAUCUCCCCACCCUUCCAUACAUCCACCCCCCCACCCACCCACUCCUCCCUCCCUCCCUCCAUUCCUGGUCUCCCUUUGGUGUCAGUGCCGUAGCAGAGCAGCAGUUCCACCACCCAAGGGUUAAGGGAUCGGCGUUGCCACGGCGUUGGUGGCACUUGGUGGCACUCGCCCUCCUGAGCCCAAUAAAAGCCACCCCUUGGCCUGGUGCAGAGCAGUGCCGUGCAGGGAUCGGUGCCACGAUGCUGCGCGUCCCGGUGCUGCUGCUGCUGGCGGCCCUCACUGCCACCACCCAGGGACAGACCGCGGGCUCCCAGCAGCUGCAGCCGUGGCUGAUCGGUCUCACGGCGGUGGUGGUUUUCCUAUUCGUGGUUUUCGUGCUGCUGUUGGCGGGGCGGCUUUGGCGACUGCGGACGCGCAGAGAACACGAGGACGACUCGGAGAAGCGAUCGACCCACAGCAUGGAGCGUGCAGCCUACAUCAACGCCGCGGCCGAGAGAGACAGCGACGACGAACGGGAGAAGAGCAAAGCCACGUCGCUGUGACACGCGUGGGCUUCCCGGGCCGCUCCGUUCCGCGCCGCGUUUUGCGGAGCUCCGUUCGGCCGGCGGCAAAACCCGGAGCGGAUCGCAGCGGGAUGGAGCGGGGCGGGGGGGGGGCUGUGGGGGUACCCCAUAAAGCUGCCGGCCCGCAGUGUGAGGUGUGGUGUCACGAGUGGGAACAGAGAGCUGGGGGAGGGCGACAGAACGGGGGGGGCACCGGGAGGGGGUCGGAUGUCACGUGGCUGAGGGGUGAUGGUGGGGGGGUGGGGGGGCGGCAGCGCCGCACGUGGGCUCAGAGCUGCAGCCACGCGUGUCCGUGUUUGUGCCCCAUCAAUGUCCGAAUGCGGGCAGCCACACCGCCGGCCCCCGAUCCAUCCCAUAACCCCCCCUCUCCCCCCCGUAUCCUCACGGCACCCACGCGUGUCCACACCCCCACGUGCCCCCCACCUGUGUCCCAUCCUCACGUGUGGGUACCCACGCAGGACAGCCCCCCCGCAUCCCACUGCCCACCCCGACCCCAGCCCUAAUCCUAAAUCCCAACCCCCACCCCGACCCCCUCUGCACCCUGACCCCCCCGCAUCCCUCUGCCCACACCACGCGUGGGGGGCAGCCAGGCCGCACAUCGCCCACUGGUGUCCCCCUCCCCGCCCCCCCCCAGAAGCAGACACGGACGCUGCGUGGAGUUGAAGCAGAGCUUUGUUUA